UUUUUUUUUUUUUUUUUACUAUCAGUUAUUCCUGUUUUCUCAAGAAUUAAAUUUGUUUACUUUAGGUUCUUGCUCAGAACUCUGGUUUUGACCUUCAGGAAACAUUAGUUAAAAUUCAAGCAGAACAUUCAGAAUCAGGUCAGCUUGUGGGUGUGGACCUGAACACAGGUGAGCCAAUGGUAGCAGCAGAAGUAGGCGUAUGGGAUAACUAUUGUGUAAAGAAACAGCUUCUUCACUCCUGCACUGUGAUUGCCACCAACAUUCUCUUGGUUGAUGAGAUCAUGCGAGCUGGAAUGUCUUCUCUGAAAGGUUGAAUUGAAGCUUCCUCUGUAUCUGAAUCUUGAAGACUGCAAAGUGAUCCUGAGGAAUACAGCUGUGGAAUUUUUGUCCAAGCUUCAAAUAAUUUU
RNAcentral lists this small RNA (407 nucleotides) under Pongo abelii (Sumatran orangutan). RNAcentral's name for it is "retained intron". Lineage: Eukaryota; Metazoa; Chordata; Mammalia; Primates; Hominidae. The record is from RNAcentral.